RNAcentral lists this unclassified non-coding RNA (343 nucleotides) under Hevea brasiliensis (rubber tree). The record is from RNAcentral. Lineage: Eukaryota; Viridiplantae; Streptophyta; Magnoliopsida; Malpighiales; Euphorbiaceae.
AAACAAUAAAUAUUUACAAAUUACAAUUUCAAAGCAUUUUUGCUCCAAAAAAGAAUUACUCCAAUUAAUCCUCUAAAUCCAGAUCUCCAUUUUAAGCCAUCAACAAUUCAGAACUUUCUUUUAGCCCCAAAUUCUUAUUAUCAGUCAAAUCCACAUAUACUUUCUUCACUGGAUAAUCAUAAUCAUCAUUUCUUGAUAAUUGACCUAUUGAAGCUAAAGCUAACAACUCAGAUUCAUCAAGCCCUUUUGCUGGACCAAGACUACACCUUUCAGUCCCAUACCUUCCUAAUGCAUCUUUGAAUUUUUUAAUAGUUGCAUUAGUACAGCUAAAGCUACAGAGUUU